Molecule: ribosomal RNA, 819 nt
Filed under: uncultured bacterium
Lineage: Bacteria
Description: bacterial SSU rRNA
Rfam family: Bacterial small subunit ribosomal RNA
Source: RNAcentral
UCUGACUUGAGUGCAGNGGGGGAGAGUGGAAUUCCAUGUGUAGCGGUGAAAUGCGUAGAUAUAUGGAGGAACACCAGUGGCGAAAGCGGCUCUCUGGUCUGUCACUGACGCUGAGGCUCGAAAGCGUGGGUAGCGAACAGGAUUAGAUACCCUGGUAGUNCACGCCGUAAACGAUGAGUGCUAGGUGUUAGGCCCUUUCCGGGGCUUAGUGCCGGAGCUAACGCAAUAAGCACUCCGCCUGGGGAGUACGACCGCAAGGUUGAAACUCAAAGGAAUUGACGGGGGCCCGCACAAGCGGUGGAGCAUGUGGUUUAAUUCGAAGCAACGCGGAGAACCUUACCAGGUCUUGACAUCCCGAUGCUAUUCUUAGAGAUAGGAAGUUACUUCGGUACAUCGGAGACAGGUGGUGCAUGGUUGUCGUCAGCUCGUGUCGUGAGAUGUUGGGUUAAGUCCCGCAACGAGCGCAACCCUUAUUGUUAGUUGCCAUCAUUAAGUUGGGCACUCUAGCGAGACUGCCGGUAAUAAACCGGAGGAAGGUGGGGAUGACGUCAAAUCAUCAUGCCCCUUAUGACCUGGGCUACACACGUGCUACAAUGGUCGGUACAACGAGUUGCGAGCCGGUGACGGCAAGCUAAUCUCUGAAAGCCGAUCUCAGUUCGGAUUGGAGGCUGCAACUCGCCUCCAUGAAGUCGGAAUCGCUAGUAAUCGCGGAUCAGCACGCCGCGGUGAAUACGUUCCCGGGCCUUGUACACACCGCCCGUCACACCACGAGAGUUUGUAACACCCGAAGUCGGUGAGGUAACCUUUUAGGGGCCAGCC